Sarcophilus harrisii (Tasmanian devil) is the source of this 685-nucleotide long non-coding RNA. RefSeq lists it as uncharacterized. The record is from RefSeq and is a predicted model, not a curated record. NCBI's taxonomy places the organism in Eukaryota, Metazoa, Chordata, Mammalia, Dasyuromorphia, Dasyuridae. The transcript is spliced from 4 exons.
AAGUAGAAAGGUCUCUGGAUUUAGAGUUGAAUGACGCAGAUUCAAUGUCAAUUGCUACAUAUCAUUUGUAUUUAAGUUAGGAGAGAAUAUAAUAGCAAACCAUGAAACCAAAGAGUAACACUGUGGCUUCAACCAGCAAGUAGUUCCUAACAAUUUAUGUUUCAUUUUUACCCUCCAGGAACAGUGGGGACCAGAUGGAGCAAAACAUCAGACUCCUGGAAGAUAAGGACAAUAUCAGUUUAACUCUGGAAAGAAAAGUAAUAAAUCAACAUGUACACACUGCGGGAGAAGAAAGCUGGGAAUAAUAUGACAUUCACUCUAGAUUUAAGAAGAGCAGAUUUCAAAGGAUUCAAAGAAAAGAUACAAAGGAUCCUAUGGACUAAAAUUCCACAAUCCAAAUCAGUCUGGGAGGAUUAGCAAGCUUCUACAGUGGCAUUCUGAAGACCCACAUAAAGACACAUAAAUCAUUCUGAUUCUCCCACCCAGGAUGGAAAUGAAUGUACCCUGGUAGAUUUGGCCAAUCUCAUCCAUCAACAAUGUUCUUCAAAGAUUGAACAACUUAUAAACUUUUGGAAAAAACCUUUUCUUAUUUUAACAAUUGAUCAUUAAUAUAGGAGAGAAAUAAUUGUCUUCUCUCAAUUGUUGUUGCUCUAAUUUCUUUUUAUCCCAGCAUUUCGUAUAAUUU